AGAGUUUGAUCAUGGCUCAGAUUGAACGCUGGCGGCAGGCCUAACACAUGCAAGUCGAGCGGUAGCACAGAGAGCUUGCUCUCGGGUGACGAGCGGCGGACGGGUGAGUAAUGUCUGGGAAACUGCCUGAUGGAGGGGGAUAACUACUGGAAACGGUAGCUAAUACCGCAUAAUGUCGCAAGACCAAAGUGGGGGACCUUCGGGCCUCAUGCCAUCAGAUGUGCCCAGAUGGGAUUAGCUAGUAGGUGGGGUAACGGCUCACCUAGGCGACGAUCCCUAGCUGGUCUGAGAGGAUGACCAGCCACACUGGAACUGAGACACGGUCCAGACUCCUACGGGAGGCAGCAGUGGGGAAUAUUGCACAAUGGGCGCAAGCCUGAUGCAGCCAUGCCGCGUGUGUGAAGAAGGCCUUCGGGUUGUAAAGCACUUUCAGCGGGGAGGAAGGCGNNNNNCGAUUGACGUUACCCGCAGAAGAAGCACCGGCUAACUCCGUGCCAGCAGCCGCGGUAAUACGGAGGGUGCAAGCGUUAAUCGGAAUUACUGGGCGUAAAGCGCACGCAGGCGGUCUGUCAAGUCGGAUGUGAAAUCCCCGGGCUCAACCUGGGAACUGCAUUCGAAACUGGCAGGCUAGAGUCUUGUAGAGGGGGGUAGAAUUCCAGGUGUAGCGGUGAAAUGCGUAGAGAUCUGGAGGAAUACCGGUGGCGAAGGCGGCCCCCUGGACAAAGACUGACGCUCAGGUGCGAAAGCGUGGGGAGCAAACAGGAUUAGAUACCCUGGUAGUCCACGCCGUAAACGAUGUCGAUUUGGAGGUUGUGCCCUUGAGGCGUGGCUUCCGGAGCUAACGCGUUAAAUCGACCGCCUGGGGAGUACGGCCGCAAGGUUAAAACUCAAAUGAAUUGACGGGGGCCCGCACAAGCGGUGGAGCAUGUGGUUUAAUUCGAUGCAACGCGAAGAACCUUACCUGGUCUUGACAUCCACAGAACUUUCCAGAGAUGGAUUGGUGCCUUCGGGAACUGUGAGACAGGUGCUGCAUGGCUGUCGUCAGCUCGUGUUGUGAAAUGUUGGGUUAAGUCCCGCAACGAGCGCAACCCUUAUCCUUUGUUGCCAGCGGUNCGGCCGGGAACUCAAAGGAGACUGCCAGUGAUAAACUGGAGGAAGGUGGGGAUGACGUCAAGUCAUCAUGGCCCUUACGACCAGGGCUACACACGUGCUACAAUGGCAUAUACAAAGAGAAGCGACCUCGCGAGAGCAAGCGGACCUCAUAAAGUAUGUCGUAGUCCGGAUUGGAGUCUGCAACUCGACUCCAUGAAGUCGGAAUCGCUAGUAAUCGUAGAUCAGAAUGCUACGGUGAAUACGUUCCCGGGCCUUGUACACACCGCCCGUCACACCAUGGGAGUGGGUUGCAAAAGAAGUAGGUAGCUUAACCUUCGGGAGGGCGCUUACCACUUUGUGAUUCAUGACUGGGGUGAAGUCGUAACAAGGUAACCGUAGGGGAACCUGCGGUUGGAUCACCU
Molecule: ribosomal RNA, 1514 nt
Filed under: Klebsiella pneumoniae
Lineage: Bacteria; Pseudomonadati; Pseudomonadota; Gammaproteobacteria; Enterobacterales; Enterobacteriaceae
Description: bacterial SSU rRNA
Rfam family: Bacterial small subunit ribosomal RNA
Source: RNAcentral